GCUGGGAGGCUUGUGUUGGUUGGGAGGCUGGUUGGGAGGCUUGUGGUGGCUGGGAGGCUGGUUGGGAAGCUUGUGGUGGCUGGGAGGCUGGUUGGGAGGAGGUAGACAGAGAGGUAGUUGGAUGGAAGAAUGUAGUCUGAGAGGCUAAAGUACAUUGGCUACUUGCUCCUGCUAAUAUUUGUGAUGGAAUAGCCAUCUUCAUGAAAAUAAGCAUUGAAAGUAAGUAUUUAAAUAUAAUAAAAACCUAGUAAAUUACAUCUCAAGAAUAAUAAAUGAGCAUUUCAAACCUGUGAUCUAUCUCUUUUUCUACUAAUUCUGCUCCCACUCUAACUGCAACCAAUGUUUUGAUCUUUUUGCUUUGGCCUAUCC
RNAcentral lists this long non-coding RNA (369 nucleotides) under Elaeis guineensis (African oil palm). Its description in RNAcentral is "long non-coding RNA (EGUI_LNC037105)". The record is from RNAcentral. Lineage: Eukaryota; Viridiplantae; Streptophyta; Magnoliopsida; Arecales; Arecaceae.